Molecule: ribosomal RNA, 459 nt
Filed under: Triticum aestivum (bread wheat)
Lineage: Eukaryota; Viridiplantae; Streptophyta; Magnoliopsida; Poales; Poaceae
Description: partial small subunit ribosomal RNA
Source: RNAcentral
AUGGCUAUCUACGAUACACUGUUUAGCCAACUUGAUGUGAAAUUGUCUCAGCUUCUUGUUAUAGAUCGUGAUUUCCGGGAUCCAAGUUUUGGGCUCCAGCUUCAUGAGACUGAAUUUUGUUCAAGGCUAACAGUGAAAAUUUUAUUUGUAAAAUAUGGCGAUCCCUAUAAUGGUAUUUCUGAAGCUUCUCUAUGCUUGCUUUCCUACCAACAAGCAGUAAUCCAAUCAUUGGUGCACCAGGUACUAUAUCAUCGGCCAUCCACCAGGACGAUGCUGGCAGCCAAAGAAAGCUCCUUCCCCACCGCUGACAGCCGAAACCGUUCUUGUGCUCAUCAAGAUGUCCAGUUGAGACACCUACCCAUUUCUUCUCUCUUUUUUCUCUUGAGAGGAGAGGAGAGGAUGCUAACUAGCGAAGUACUAUACUACUACAUUUCAAACCAUAAUAAGGUCCUUCGGUAA